GCUGUGCCCACUGGGCCACGCUUCUCCUCUCAGUGCGCAGGAACCAAUCACUGUGCAGCAGCUCCUCCUCCCUGACUGGGCGGGUCUCCACUCCUGAGUGCCUCGGGCAGUUUCUUGUGUCUAGUCACCUCGCCACUGGCCCCGUUCACAGGUGACGCUCACCACAAUACUGGUUACGCGCCAGGUCUGCUGCUCACGGGAGCCCUAUUUUCUUGAACAACUGGGCACACUCUCCCUGCUUGCCAAACCCUCAGCCCCUAAGGUUGUGGAGCUUGGGGCUGAGAGCCCUCGGCGUAUUUUGCUUGCCCUCUGGUAGCCACGCCCCCGGGAGCUGGUGCAAGAGACCUCAGUUGUCUGCGCUUGUGGGAGCGGUAGCCGGGGGUCCCACGCCACUCCUGAAUCCCUCGGUCUUGAC
RNAcentral lists this long non-coding RNA (415 nucleotides) under Marmota monax (woodchuck). The record is from RNAcentral. Lineage: Eukaryota; Metazoa; Chordata; Mammalia; Rodentia; Sciuridae.